UAUCCAUUUUAUAAAUAAGUUUUCCUCUGCGAACAUUUUUGGCCAGAGAUCAAGCAGAUGAUGAAGAAAUUUUUGUUCGAGAGUGCACGAGCAGUACACGAGUUAUUUAGUCGCAAGUACUUUUGAGCAUGGAACUAAUCGCAAUCGAACUGCUUCCUCGAACUACUCCUCUCUCGAUCUGAACUGAUAUAGUUGUUUGUACGAAAAAUGAAGCAGAAAGCAGGAACUUUUGGAGUGGUUAAGUUAACAACUACCACUACAUAUUGCACACUACCGUCGUCUUCGUCGUCCAAGAAAUGUUGUUCUUGUGGAGGAGUUGGAUGGAGACUCCACUCCUCGGAAAACAUUCGCAACAACCACCAACAAAAAUUGCUUCCAAAGUCUUCGUCGAUAAUAAGGAGGAGGAUUUCUCAAAUGAUGAGAUACCAAAUAAAUGAUUGGAAAUAUGUAGGAAAAAGGUGCGAUUUGAACGCCACGAGUCCGUUUUUUAAAACCAUGAUGGCACAAUUUCGUCCAAAUUUUAUUCCUUCCAUAAAAAAUUAACGGUUUUGAUAAUGUUCUCUUCACUAAAAUUUAUUGCAAGCCUUCUUCCUCAGUUUAUAUUGCCAUCUUAUGUUAACCAUUUAUUAUGCAUGUCGCUCCAAAUUGUUGCAUUCUGUCGCGUUAUCUAACUUAAUGACGGAUUUAUUUCGUUGUCGCUCUUUCCAUUCCUUCCAUCAAGAAGAAGUCUAAUUCAGUUUGCUGACGUAUUAGUAGGAGAAUAUAAGUAAGUAGUAUAAUAGUGAAAUCUUGUACAAGUAAAAUCACGAACACUGUGUAAAGUAAAAUAAAAGCUGUACUUACUUGCAAUCUGCGAGUAGUGAAAUCAAA
This is a long non-coding RNA of Folsomia candida, 870 nucleotides long. RefSeq lists it as uncharacterized. The record is from RefSeq and is a predicted model, not a curated record. Lineage: Eukaryota; Metazoa; Arthropoda; Collembola; Entomobryomorpha; Isotomidae. The transcript is spliced from 2 exons.